Molecule: long non-coding RNA, 567 nt
Organism: Gambusia affinis (western mosquitofish)
Lineage: Eukaryota; Metazoa; Chordata; Actinopteri; Cyprinodontiformes; Poeciliidae
Exons: 3
Source: RefSeq, a predicted model, not a curated record
AUUCUGGAGUGAAGGAUCUCUGUGGUUUUCUACAGACUGAAGGCUGCAGACUGGAGACAUUGAGGUUGAAUCGCUGCUGGUUGUCAAAGAUCAGCUGUGAUUAUUUGGCUUCAGCUCUGAAGUCCAACAGCCUCCAUCUGAAAGAACUGGACCUGAGAGGAAACAACCUGAAGGAUUCAGUUGUUCAGCAGCUGAAGGAUCUUGUAGAUGAUCUAAAGUGGAGGACAAAUGAUUCUGAUGAUUCUUACUUAUACAUCUUCUGAUCUCUGUAAAGUAGAGAAUGAUCUCUGUGUCCUGCUGAUCCUCAGAGGUUGAAGCUGCAGCAGUUUGAGUCUAAAGAGACUGACAGGAUCAUGAUGAUGACCUCUGACCUCCAAGAUUUUCCUCCUGUUUAUUUUCUCAUGUCUGUCAUUUAGUGUCUGAUAUUGUUUGUCUCUUUGGAUCAAUAAAGAUCCAAUUCAAACUGGGCUCCAUUUAGAGGCUUGAUGGAGUUUUGAUCUGAACUGGAUUCAACUGGAAAGUUGAUCUUUUUUCUCUCUGGUUCAUUUUCAUCCUGGAACCAGAAAU